Molecule: small nuclear RNA, 105 nt
Organism: Molossus molossus (Pallas's mastiff bat)
Lineage: Eukaryota; Metazoa; Chordata; Mammalia; Chiroptera; Molossidae
Source: RefSeq, a predicted model, not a curated record
GUGUUCACUUUGGCAAUACAUAUACUAAAAUUGAAAUGAUAUAGAGAAGAUUAGCUGGCUCCUGCAAAGGAUGAUAGGCAAAUUCGUGAAGCAUUCCAUAUUUUU